This 2610-nucleotide long non-coding RNA is filed under the name Homo sapiens (human). Its description in RNAcentral is "non-protein coding PRKG1-AS1:16". Lineage: Eukaryota; Metazoa; Chordata; Mammalia; Primates; Hominidae. The record is from RNAcentral.
GAACUUGGGUGCCCUUGCCUGGCAGUAAGGGUUGAAUUAUCCGGAUCUGAAAUACUUUACAGAGCCGAGGGGUGAUAGGCUCUGCAAAAGCACUUUUUGCCCCUCUCCUUUAUGCCAAUACUCGCUGACUGUGCACACAAGUCAUAUUCAGUAUUAAAUACAAACCGGUCUGUAAUUCAAUGGCUCUAGCAAGACGCCUCUGAGAGGGCCAGGUGGCGGGUGCAAGUUGCUCAUUAACCCUUUAGAGUCGCAGUUUGCAGAUCUGAGUUAGAUCCCCGGCUUUGAGGUCCUUCAGUUGCCCUCCUCCCCCACCUCCCCCCGCCACUGCGAGAAAAAUGUGCAAAGAGAAGGAAAUUUGCACAUCAAACGAGGGGCAAUCGCGGCGGUAGAUGAACUUGAUUAGGCAGACGCGUGAGAUCAAAGUGGCCGGGACCAAAGCGGACAGGGUCCAACGUGCCAGCACUGCCAAGAGAAGGCCUUUUGUACUCAGGUUAAAUAAGAACAUCCUGCAAGGAGUCUGUUCUUUUAUGCAGCCUAAAGAUCAAGUAAUAAUCAUUGACACUGAUACUGAGCAUGUCGAUUUUGAAGAGACUAGCAUUUCCUGGUAAUGAAGUGGAGUAUAUAUCCAUAUAUUUCUGUUUUCUGGAUGAGAAGACUAACCUAACUAAGUAGGAACCUUGAAGAAUCAUGUUCUUCCUAGGAAUUACAAAUCCCCCGAUUCCAUGUCUAACAUAAUUUCUACUGGCCUCUUUGCUUCUCAUGCUUUAGUACCAGUGCUUCUGAAUUUGAAAGUCUUCAUGCAAAUUGCCCAGGUUUGCUGGCAGCUGUGUCUCAGAAAAAGCUGUCUUCAGCAAGGCAGAAGCAGAAUGAAGGAGCUGGACUUGGAGAUCUCUCUCACCUCUGAAGUUGUGUAAGUGAAGUAUACUGACCCAGUGUGACCACGCUGCUAUUCGAAGACUUACUCAAAGUUUUCAAACAGACUAACCAUGUGGGACUGUGAUUUAGCAAGGAAAACAGCCAGAAUAAACAUGUCAGUGUCUCCGUUUUAUGGUGGCUUCAUGUGCAGCAUUGUGACCUAUACCUCGGAGUUUUUCUUAUACCAGAUGAAGCUUGUUCUAUAGUCUUCACAAGGACAUAACACUUGUCAUAAGUAAAUGUUUCUAUUCUCUUGAUAUCAUUCCGAUUAUAUCAAAACGUGCUUUGAAACAACAAGCAGUAGAAUCACUUGGUAUAAUCUUGUCCUCAGUUGACAUGUUUACUUAUUUUUAUCCAGCCUAUGUUUGAAGUCCAACAUGAGCUCAUUUCUCAUGCUGGGGUGGAAUGUAUGAAGGGAUCCAAUUCUUUUGCAUCUUUAGAGAUUAUCUCAUGAAGCAAGGUUCAAUUUAGAACUCUGAGAUCUAACACUGAUUACUUAACUUUACGAGGAAAUACACAAAAAAAUCUGAAUGUCCAGACAAAAGCUGGAAAAAAAAACUUAUCUGUAUCUGCUUCAUCCUUUAUAAAAUGGAAACCUACAAGUGUUUUCCUAAUAAAAUUGUAGUGAACCUGCACAAAGUGAGCAUCUCCAUCACAUUUGCUAUUACUAUUGUGGCUACUAUUAUUAUUAUUGCCUAAAGUAUUGUCUAAGAUGAACACAGAUUUAGAGAUACUGCUACACUAAAUAGCACUUUCUACUAUUUAGUUAAUGUCUAUAUCAUAAUUAGUAUACAAUCAUAGUAGAUUUAUUCAGCAUGACACUAUCAUAAUAACUUAUUUCAAAGAGGUUUUGAAAUAUGGAUUUUAUAAUAUAAAAUAUUUUGAGAAUCCUUCACCCAGGGAAGUUUUAUUUAUAUAAUUAUUAUCUACUUCUAAUAGAUCCUAUCUGCCCACAAAUCCCCAAUAAUACCAGCUCUACUUCUGCUGCAGUAUAAUGCUGCAUUAGCAAGUUCACCUCUAAUUUACUAGCUAACACACACCCUGGAGUCUCCUUAGAUAAUUCCCAAACCUCCUGCUUUCAUCUAACCAAAAUGAGUAUCUUUCGUUGUUGGUAAAUAUAUGAGUUUCAGACGACUACGGUGCAAGCUGGUGAGCCUUGCUUUUCUAAUUUAUGUUUUAAUUAAUUUCCUUUCCAACUUGCUCCAUUUUGUGCAUUCUUUUCCUCUCAUGUGUUUGCAAUACUUCCCAGGGAAUAACACCUACAUUUUGAAUUAUAGAUUUCUUGAAUGCAUCUUUUAGGUAAUUAAGGUGUUAACAAAGACAAGACUCAAGUAUGAUCCUUAAAGAAUUUCUUGGCCUGGCGCGGUGGCUCACGCCUGUAAUCCCAGGACUUUGGGAGGCUGAGGAGGGCGGAUCAUGAGGUCAGGAGAUCGAGACCAUCCUGGCUAACAUGGUGAAACCCCGUCUCUACUAAAAAAUACCAAAAAAAAUUAGCCAGGCGUGGUGGCGGGUGCCUGUAGUCCCAGCUACUCGGGGGGCUGAGGUGGGAGAAUGGCAUGAACCCAGGAGGCGGAGCUUGCAGUGAGCCGAGAUCGUGCCACUGCACUCCAACCUGGGCAACAGAGCGAGACUCCAUCUCAGGAAAAAAAAACAAAAAACAAAAAACAUUUUUUUGCAUGUUUAAUCAACCAUUAC